Molecule: ribosomal RNA, 467 nt
Filed under: uncultured bacterium
Lineage: Bacteria
Description: partial 16S ribosomal RNA
Rfam family: Bacterial small subunit ribosomal RNA
Source: RNAcentral
GAUGAACGCUGGCGGCGUGCUUAACACAUGCAAGUCGAACGAUGAUGCCCAGCUUGCUGGGUGGAUUAGUGGCGAACGGGUGAGUAACACGUGAGUAACCGGCCCUUGACUCUGGGAUAAGCCUGGGAAACUGGGUCUAAUACCGGAUACGACCAUCUGGCGCAUGUCAUGGUGGUGGAAAGCUUUUGUGGUUUUGGAUGGACUCGCGGCCUAUCAGCUUGUUGGUGGGGUAAUGGCCUACCAAGGCGACGACGGGUAGCCGGCCUGAGAGGGUGACCGGCCACACUGGGACUGAGACACGGCCCAGACUCCUACGGGAGGCAGCAGUGGGGAAUAUUGCACAAUGGGCGCAAGCCUGAUGCAGCGACGCCGCGUGAGGGAUGACGGCCUUCGGGUUGUAAACCUCUUUCAGUAGGGAAGAAGCGAAAGUGACGGUACCUGCAGAAGAAGCGCCGGCUAACUACGUG